CAAUAGCGUAUAUUAAAGUUGUUGCGGUUAAAAAGCUCGUAGUUGGAUUUCUGCUGAGGACGACCGGUCCGCCCUCCGGGUGAGCAUCUGGUUCGGCCUUGGCAUCUUCUUGGUGAACGUAUCUGCACUUGACUGUGUGGUGCGGUACCCAGGACUUUUACUUUGAGGAAAUUAGAGUGUUUCAAGCAGGCACACGCCUUGAAUACAUUAGCAUGGAAUAAUAAGAUAGGACCUUGGUUCUAUUUUGUUGGUUUCUAGAGCUGAGGUAAUGAUUAAUAGGGAUAGUUGGGGGGCAUUCGUAUUUAACUGUCAGAGGUGAAAUUCUUGGAUUUCGUCACGACGAACUACUGCGAAAGCAUUUGCCAAGGAUGUUUUUCAUUGAUCAAGAACGAAAGUAAGGGGAUCGAAGAUGAUUAGAU
This 419-nucleotide ribosomal RNA is filed under the name uncultured eukaryote. RNAcentral's name for it is "SSU rRNA". It matches the Rfam family "Eukaryotic small subunit ribosomal RNA", at positions 592 to 1013 of the family's 1831-position model. The record is from RNAcentral.